Non-coding RNA from Pelobates cultripes (western spadefoot toad), 309 nucleotides. NCBI's taxonomy places the organism in Eukaryota, Metazoa, Chordata, Amphibia, Anura, Pelobatidae. The record is from the annotation of a GenBank genome assembly.
CAAGGGAUCAAAAAUAUUUUAAAACGAAGCUUUUAAAUUGAUUUAUUUAUAUUUUGUUCCGAUCACGUGAUCGGAGCAUAGCGCACAUGCGCAAAUCGAUUGGUGGCGAAAACACUUCCUGGAUUGCACGGAGUGCUCAGUGGCCGGCUGGAAACACAAAGCUCCAUGGGAAAUAGAGUCCUGCCGGCCACUGGGCGCUCCUAUAAUAGGAUACAUGCGUGGGAUCACAUUAAGAGAUAAAGAAAAAAGCAAUAUAUAAUAAAAUGAUGAAAUUAAAAGCAUUUAAAGUAUAAAAACAUUGGUUUGAAA